Molecule: ribosomal RNA, 253 nt
Filed under: uncultured bacterium
Lineage: Bacteria
Description: partial 16S ribosomal RNA
Rfam family: Bacterial small subunit ribosomal RNA
Source: RNAcentral
UACGGAGGGGGCUAGCGUUGUUCGGAAUUACUGGGCGUAAAGCGCACGUAGGCGGCUUUGUAAGUUAGAGGUGAAAGCCCGGGGCUCAACCCCGGAAUUGCCUUUAAGACUGCAUCGCUUGAAUCCAGGAGAGGUGAGUGGAAUUCCGAGUGUAGAGGUGAAAUUCGUAGAUAUUCGGAAGAACACCAGUGGCGAAGGCGGGUCUCUGGGCCGUAACUGACGCUGAGGAGCGAAAGCGUGGGGAGCGAACAGG